Scylla paramamosain (green mud crab) is the source of this 2497-nucleotide long non-coding RNA. RefSeq lists it as uncharacterized. The transcript has 2 exons. The record is from RefSeq and is a predicted model, not a curated record. NCBI's taxonomy places the organism in Eukaryota, Metazoa, Arthropoda, Malacostraca, Decapoda, Portunidae.
CGCGUUCACACCAAGCGAGUCGCGUCGCGUCAAGUCAAGAGCGUCAUUUGAUGCGAUUCAUUUUGACUCAUCUCCGUUCACACCGACUGCGUCAGCCCGCGUCAAGUCAGCACUCAGUGACCUGGGUAAUUUCAUGGAGAAUGGAUGCAUGUUCCCUGGCUGAAGUAGCUGCUUUGUUGUGGCUUCGUCGUCGCAGACGUAAGAAGAAACAACGAAUAUGGAUCCAUGAACUGAACAUCAAGAGGCCAGAUUUUGGAAACUUCUCUCAUCUAUUCCCAGACCUGGUGAACCAUCCAGAAAAAUUCUACAACUACUUUAGGAUGACACAUGAAAAUUUUAAGAAGCUGGUGGAGUUGACUGGAUCUUCCAUAAAGAAAAUUAACACAAACUACAGGGGUGCAGUUGGAGUUGAAGAAAGAAUGACCAUUUUUUUAAGGUAAGAAGUAUUUUAUUGAACAUUACAAUAAUCAUUCCAUUAUUAGGCUUCUGUGUAGGGCAAUAGUAAAUAAAUAUAACAUAAAGACAGCUCAUGUAUAUGGGAGGGCUUUCUCGAACUAAAUUUAUCAGGAAUUCCACUUCCAUCAUGCUCCCGCAACGACGGACUCGCUGUGACUGAUGUAGAAAAUGGGUCCAGCCCUAUCUGUGACUCGACGCGACGCGACGCGCCGUGACUUGACGCGACGCGACUCGCUUGGUGUGAACGGUUUUUUCAAAUAUACAUACAAAUUAAUGUUAAACUCGGGUGGCGAUUCAUGACGCAUGAUGACUUGCCUUGACUUGACGCGACGCGACUCGCUUGGUGUGAACGCGGCCCUAGGGCUGGGCCUAUUUUUGACGUCAGUCACAGCGAGUCUGCCGUGGUGUCUGCAAGUAUACUGGUAGAAGACCUAAUCAACUUAGUUCGAGAGCGCCCUGCUAUUUAUGAUCCCAGUAACCCCAACCACCGGGAUCGUGAUGUCAUUGCUUCCCUAUGGAAGGAGGUUGCUGCUGCAUUGUCGUGUACAGAACCCGAAUGUAAGGACAAAUGUCGCCACCUAAGAAGCAAUUUUAUGAGGGAAAGAAGAAAGAAUAGUGAAAAACCAUCUGGAUCAGGUAAUACACAGGCAAGGAGGUGGGUGUACUACGAUGCCAUGCAAUUUCUGAUCCCUUAUGUGACGCCACGACCAACAUCUUCAAACGUCCCUAAACCUCCUGAUGAAGACACCUGUCAUGAAACGGAAGAUGCAGAUCAAGAUUCUUCACUUUUUGCUGUCAUCGAAGCAUCCGAAAAUGCAUCUCCUCAAGAGGCUGCCAGUAACGUCAAAACUUGUGAGGAUCGCAGCAAUGACAAGCCUAUUCUUCCCAAAUCAAAGAAGCCUUGUAUCGCAAAAAAAAAAAUAGCAAGGCCAGUGCAGAUGAGAUAGAUUUGCUUUUCUUAGACAAAAUAAAACAACUGAGAGGAAAAGCGUCGUCACAAAAUGACGGAGAUCGCCAGUUUUUGUUAAGCCUGCUGCCUAUGAUGAAACAACUGUCGCCAAUUGACAACAUGGACAUAAGAAUUGAAAUAUAUGAAGCCUUUCGUAGGAAGAUGUUCAAGCCCGCACCCUCUGUCCAGUAUGGGUACUGGACUGAACAUAAUCAAUCACAUACACCAACACCGUCACCAGGUACAGAAUAAUGAACAGUUUUUUAACCUCUGAGAAGUAAUUUAGAUGAUCAUGUUUCACUCACCAUCAGGAAUGCAUUACUGCCAUCAGCUCACUAAUUUACUAUUGCCGUACGUGUAAUGAUUUUUGAAAUGUUCAAUAAAAAUACCUCUUACCUUAAAAAAAUGGCCAUUCUUUCUUCCGUUCCUAUUGCACGCCUGUAGUUAGUGUUAAUUUUCCUAAUGGAAGGUCCAACCAACUCCACGAGCUUCUUGAAGUUUUCAUUUGUCAUCCUAAAAAUGUUGUAGAAUUUUUCUGGAUGGUUUACCAGGUCUGGGAAUAAAUGACUGAAGCUACCGAAAUCUGGCCUCCUGGUGUUCAGAUGAUGCAUCCAGAUUCGAGUUUUAUUUUUACGUCUGCGACGACGAAGCCAGAGCAAUGCAGUUACUACAGCAAGAGAAUAUGCGUCCAUUCUCCCUGAAAUCAAAUGGGUCACUGUGUAGUGACUUGACUCGGGUUGACGCAUUCGGUGUAAACGGAGAUACGUCGAAAUGAAUCGCUUCAAAUGACUUGAUGCGACUCGACUCGACGCGACUCGCUCGGUGUAAACGCAGCGUAAAGGCUGCAAAAGUUGUGUUGUGCCUUGCCACCAGGAUUUGGACGGGAAAUCAUACAUACAAAUCAAAUCAGUAUUUUUCAACUUGUAUAAGAGGUGAGAAGCUGUCUCUGGGACGAAUGUAUGGGUGGACGAGAUCACGUCCACAUAUACAUGCGUAUGUACGUACAUAUAAAUGUGCAUAUAGAUGAAGGGGAAGCAAUAGACUGUAUCAGGUGAAAGAUGACCUGAUUUAUCUUAGUAACCUUUAAUUGAC